GAUGAACGCUCGCGAUAGGCUUAACACAUGCAAGUCGAGGGGCAGCAUGGUCUUAGCUUGCUAAGACUGAUGGCGACCGGCGCACGGGUGCGUAACGCGUAUGCAACUUGCCUCACAGAGGGGGAUAACCCGUCGAAAGACGGCCUAAUACCGCGUACACUCCAUCUUGUGCAUCCAAGGUAGAGGAAAUGAAAUUCGCUGUGAGAUAGGCUUGCGUCCCCUUAGCUGGUUGGUAAGGUAACGGCUCACCAGGGCGACGGUGGGUAGGGGAACGACAAGGUUGAACACCCACACUGGGACGGGAACACGGACCAGACUCCUACGGGAGGCAGCAGUGAGGAAUAUUAGUCAAUGGGCGAGAGCCUGAACCAGCCAAGUCGCGUGAAGGAUGACUGUGUUAUGGAUGGUAAACUUCUUUUAGACGGGAAUAACAAGAGUCACGGGUGACUCCCUGCAUGUACCGGAUGAAUAAGCAUCGGCUAACUCCGUG
This 490-nucleotide ribosomal RNA is filed under the name uncultured bacterium. RNAcentral describes it as "partial 16S ribosomal RNA". It matches the Rfam family "Bacterial small subunit ribosomal RNA", at positions 28 to 507 of the family's 1533-position model. The record is from RNAcentral.